CCUACGGGUGGCAGCAGUGAGGAAUAUUGGUCAAUGGGCGCGAGCCUGAACCAGCCAAGUAGCGUGAAGGAUGACGGCCCUCCGGGUUGUAAACUUCUUUUAUAAAGGAAUAAAGUGAGGCACGUGUGCCUUUUUGUAUGUACUUUAUGAAUAAGGAUCGGCUAACUCCGUGCCGGCCGCCGCGGUAAUACGGAGGGUCAGAGCGUUGUCCGGAUUUAUUGGGUUUAAAGGGAGCGUAGAUGGGUUGUUAAGUCAGUUGUGAAAGGUUGCGGCUCAACCGUAAAAGUGCAAUUGAUACUGGCAGCAUUGAGUACAGUUGAGGUAGGUGGAAUUCGUGGUGUAGCGGUGAAAUGCGUAGAGAUCACGAAGAACACCGAUUGCGAAGGCAGCCUACUAAACUGCCACUGACACUGAUGCGCGAAAGUGUGGGUAGCAAACAGGAUUAGAUACCCGGGUAGUC
RNAcentral lists this ribosomal RNA (460 nucleotides) under uncultured bacterium. RNAcentral's name for it is "partial 16S ribosomal RNA". It matches the Rfam family "Bacterial small subunit ribosomal RNA", at positions 338 to 795 of the family's 1533-position model. The record is from RNAcentral.